UGCUCAAUGAUUAAGCCAUGGCAAUAUACGCUAUUCUGAAUCAUAUUAAGAUGUCAUAAACAUUAUGAGAGCA
Oryza glaberrima (African rice) is the source of this 73-nucleotide non-coding RNA. NCBI's taxonomy places the organism in Eukaryota, Viridiplantae, Streptophyta, Magnoliopsida, Poales, Poaceae. The record is from Rfam.